AACGAACGCUGGCGGCAUGCCUAACACAUGCAAGUCGAACGAGACCUUCGGGUCUAGUGGCGCACGGGUGCGUAACGCGUGGGAACUUGCCCUUAGGUUCGGAAUAACUCCCCGAAAGGGGUGCUAAUACCGGAUAAUUUCUUCGGACCAAAGAUUUAUCGCCUUUGGAUGGGCCCGCGUUGGAUUAGCUAGUUGGUAGGGUAAAAGCCUACCAAGGCGACGAUCCAUAGCUGGUCUGAGAGGAUGAUCAGCCACACUGGGACUGAGACACGGCCCAGACUCCUACGGGAGGCAGCAGUGGGGAAUAUUGGACAAUGAGCGAAAGCCUGAUCCAGCAAUGCCGCGUGAGUGAUGAAGGCCUUAGGGUUGUAAAGCUCUUUUACCCGGGAUGAUAAUGACAGUACCGGGAGAAUAAGCUCCGGCUAACUCCGUG
This 433-nucleotide ribosomal RNA is filed under the name uncultured bacterium. RNAcentral's name for it is "partial 16S ribosomal RNA". It matches the Rfam family "Bacterial small subunit ribosomal RNA", at positions 29 to 507 of the family's 1533-position model. The record is from RNAcentral.